UAUUCGUGUUUUCUUUUCUUUUCUUUUCUUUUCUUUCUUUUUACUUC
Molecule: non-coding RNA, 47 nt
Filed under: Heterosigma akashiwo
Lineage: Eukaryota; Raphidophyceae; Chattonellales; Chattonellaceae
Source: RNAcentral